UACGGAGGGGGCUAGCGUUGUUCGGAAUUACUGGGCGUAAAGCGCGCGUAGGCGGCUUGACAAGUUGGAGGUGAAAGCCCGGAGCUCAACUUCGGAAUUGCCUUCAAGACUGUCUCGCUCGAGGCAGGGAGAGGAGAGCGGAAUACCCAGUGUAGAGGUGAAAUGCGUAGAUAUUGGGUGGAACACCGGUGGCGAAGGCGGCUCUCUGGGCCAGAACUGACGCUAAGGCGCGAAAGCGUGGGGAGCAAAAAGG
This 253-nucleotide ribosomal RNA is filed under the name uncultured bacterium. Its description in RNAcentral is "partial 16S ribosomal RNA". It matches the Rfam family "Bacterial small subunit ribosomal RNA", at positions 524 to 776 of the family's 1533-position model. The record is from RNAcentral.